CCUACGGGGGGCAGCAGUGGGGGAUAUUGCACAAUGGGGGGAACCCUGAUGCAGCGACGCCGCGUGGGUGAAGGAGCGUUUCGGCGCGUAAAGCCCUAUCGGCAGGGAAGAAGGAGGACGGUACCUGACUAAGAAGCCCCGGCUAACUACGUGCCAGCAGCCGCGGUAAUACGUAGGGGGCAAGCGUUAUCCGGAUUUACUGGGUGUAAAGGGGGCGCAGACGGCAGCGCAAGCCAGGAGUGAAAGCCCGGGGCCCAACCCCGGGACUGCUCUUGGAACUAUCAAGCUAGAGUACAGGAGAGGAA
This 305-nucleotide ribosomal RNA is filed under the name uncultured bacterium. RNAcentral's name for it is "partial 16S ribosomal RNA". It matches the Rfam family "Bacterial small subunit ribosomal RNA", at positions 338 to 659 of the family's 1533-position model. The record is from RNAcentral.